RNAcentral lists this long non-coding RNA (358 nucleotides) under Amborella trichopoda. RNAcentral describes it as "long non-coding RNA (ATRI_LNC000616)". The record is from RNAcentral. Lineage: Eukaryota; Viridiplantae; Streptophyta; Magnoliopsida; Amborellales; Amborellaceae.
UCAUUUAUUGGCAAGGGCUAAUGCUGCAGUUGUUUCCAUCCCGAACGUGCGUCUUCCAUCUCUGGUUUCCUUCCACACCAUUGUACCAUCUGCAUCAUACAUGAGUGAUAUAGUUUGUGUAAUAUGUUAGUAUUUGUUGUAGUUUGAAGACUGCAUUUGGAUUCUCUCUUGCUUAGGAUUUGUUGCCGUUAUAAGACUGCAUAUGGAUUCUCUCUCCAUUUUUUAAAAAUUUAAUAUCUUCAUACGGAUUGUCAUCUGGAAGUUUGUUCUCAAAAUCAGGUUGCAUCCUUGGUGGAUCUUGGACCCUUUCUCGAAAAAACCUGGGAAGGCUCCUCUAACAUAGGCUCUUAUAUUUGGG